CCUACGGGGGGCAGCAGUGGGGAAUAUUGCACAAUGGGGGAAACCCUGAUGCAGCGACGCCGCGUGAGUGAAGAAGUAAUUCGUUAUGUAAAGCUCUAUCAGCAGGGAAGAAAAUGACGGUACCUGAGUAAGAAGCCCCGGCUAACGACGUGCCAGCAGCCGCGGUAAGACGGAGGGGGCAAGCGUUAUCCGGAUUUACUGGGUGUAAAGGGAGCGUAGACGGCAGUGCAAGUCUGGAGUGAAAGGCGGGGGCUCAACCCCCGGACUGCUCUGGAAACUGUACGGCUGGAGUGCAGGAGAGGUAAGUGGUCUUCCUAGUGUAGCGGUGACAUGCGUCGCUAUUAGGCGGAACCCCAGUGGCGACGGCGGCUUACUGGACUGUACCUGACGUUGAGGCUC
This 399-nucleotide ribosomal RNA is filed under the name uncultured bacterium. Its description in RNAcentral is "partial 16S ribosomal RNA". It matches the Rfam family "Bacterial small subunit ribosomal RNA", at positions 338 to 754 of the family's 1533-position model. The record is from RNAcentral.